GCCCCCUCUCCCCAGUUCAACCUAGAGAGAACUUAGUUGUAUGAGGGGGUCACCUCGGAAAGUCAGGCCCCGAGGAGGGACUGCGGCUGAGCCUGGUGACCCAAGCAUGGACGAAGGAAGGGGCUGCCCUUCCACCUCCAUCUCGGCCACGCACGCCCUCCCUGAUUCACUGACACCGGGUGACCGCUGCCCUCCAGUCGCUAGGACAAGGGGAGUCGGACGGGCGCCUGUGGACCGCAGCUGGGGUAGCAGUUGGCUGUGGGUUGCUAGGCAAAAAUAAACAUCAGAGACACCUCCCAUUUCCUUACAACUUCAAGCCUUUCCCCAGCAUCGCCACUGGGAGAGACACACCGCACACCUUCCUUUCAGCUCUCGGCUGCAAGGGUAGGGCACCUCUGCUUCCUCUCAUCCUCCGAGGUUUACAAGGAUAACGACACGUGAAGUAAUUUUCUCAGCAGAAUGCGCGGCAGCAGUGAGCCGCAGCAGGCAUGAGCUCUCAAGGGAAGACAAACACUCAAAACAGCUUCAGGAAGUCCCUGAAAUUGGCCAGAUUCACUAGGCCCCUUCCUGCCAGAGCAAGUAAUAAAAGCCGAGAGUGCCUCAGACCGAAGAGAGCCAAGCUGUAAAGAAGAUUCUGAGACCAGACCAGGCACCUGGAAAAAGCUAAAACCAGCCACACUACCUGGAAGAGGUUUAGACCGACUGAGGGACCUAGGAAAGACUCCCCAACCUAUGGAGCUGCCUGCAGGCUGUGCACUGUGCUCCAGGUUCCCAGCUUUGUGGGCGGGUACCCGUGGUGGGGUGGGCUU
Peromyscus leucopus (white-footed mouse) is the source of this 809-nucleotide long non-coding RNA. RefSeq lists it as uncharacterized. The transcript has 3 exons. NCBI's taxonomy places the organism in Eukaryota, Metazoa, Chordata, Mammalia, Rodentia, Cricetidae. The record is from RefSeq and is a predicted model, not a curated record.